GUGGGGAAUUUUGGACAAUGGGCGCAAGCCUGAUCCAGCAAUGCCGCGUGCAGGAAGAAGGCCUUCGGGUUGUAAACUGCUUUUGUACGGAACGAAACGGUCCUGGUUAAUACCUGGGGCUAAUGACGGUACCGUAAGAAUAAGCACCGGCUAACUACGUGCCAGCAGCCGCGGUAAUACGUAGGGUGCAAGCGUUAAUCGGAAUUACUGGGCGUAAAGCGUGCGCAGGCGGUUUUGUAAGACAGGCGUGAAAUCCCCGGGCUCAACCUGGGAAUUGCGCUUGUGACUGCAAAGCUGGAGUGCGGCAGAGGGGGAUGGAAUUCCGCGUGUAGCAGUGAAAUGCGUAGAUAUGCGGAGGAACACCGAUGGCGAAGGCAAUCCCCUGGGCCUGCACUGACGCUCAUGCACGAAAGCGUGGGGAGCAAACAGGAUUAGAUACCCUAGUAGUCC
RNAcentral lists this ribosomal RNA (450 nucleotides) under uncultured bacterium. RNAcentral's name for it is "partial 16S ribosomal RNA". It matches the Rfam family "Bacterial small subunit ribosomal RNA", at positions 354 to 796 of the family's 1533-position model. The record is from RNAcentral.